GGCUCGUUGGUUUAGGGGUAUGAUUCUCGCUUAGGGUGCGAGAGGUCCCGGGUUCAAAUCUCGGACGAGCCC
This 72-nucleotide transfer RNA is filed under the name Loxodonta africana (African savanna elephant). RNAcentral's name for it is "tRNA-Pro (AGG) (tRNA-Pro-AGG-4-1)". It matches the Rfam family "tRNA". Rfam says of the family: Transfer RNA (tRNA) molecules are approximately 80 nucleotides in length. Their secondary structure includes four short double-helical elements and three loops (D, anti-codon, and T loops). Lineage: Eukaryota; Metazoa; Chordata; Mammalia; Proboscidea; Elephantidae. The record is from Rfam by way of RNAcentral.